RNAcentral lists this ribosomal RNA (279 nucleotides) under uncultured bacterium. RNAcentral describes it as "partial 16S ribosomal RNA". It matches the Rfam family "Bacterial small subunit ribosomal RNA", at positions 506 to 784 of the family's 1533-position model. The record is from RNAcentral.
UGCCAGCCGCCGCGGUAAUACGAAGGGACCUAGCGUAGUUUGGAAUUACUGGGCUUAAAGAGUUCGUAGGUGGUUGAAAAAGUUAGUGGUGAAAUCCCAGAGCUUAACUCUGGAAUUGCCAUCAAAACUUUUCAGCUAGAGUAUGAUAGAGGAAAGCAGAAUUUCCAGUGUAGAGGUGAAAUUCGUAGAUAUUAGAAAGAAUACCGAUUGCGAAGGCAGCUUUCUGGAUCAUUACUGACACUGAGGAACGAAAGCAUGGGUAGCGAAGAGGAUUAGAUA